Brienomyrus brachyistius is the source of this 325-nucleotide long non-coding RNA. RefSeq lists it as uncharacterized. The transcript has 3 exons. The record is from RefSeq and is a predicted model, not a curated record. NCBI's taxonomy places the organism in Eukaryota, Metazoa, Chordata, Actinopteri, Osteoglossiformes, Mormyridae.
GUUAGACACGACAGUCACUUACGGCACAAGGCCCUCUGCACUCGCCGGCUCUUCAUGGCGGUCCGGUAGGCUGAGAAACGCACGUUGUUCAGUCUGCAGGCAAGAAGCAGAAUCCAUUCCAGACCUCAGGAGCCGUGUGGUUUGCUAGUUCUCAGAAUCAGCACUAAACCGUUCCCUUCAAUAUGAUGAUUUGGAGAGGGGAAUAUUACACAGGAUAUAAAUCCGGGAAUAAAUAUGAUCUGUCGCCUCGCUUCUGCCCAGCGGAGCACGACACGCGAUGGAAAGACUUGUGGAGGAAAGCUGAGAUCGUCAUAAAUCUUCAUUU